RNAcentral lists this small RNA (746 nucleotides) under Pan troglodytes (chimpanzee). RNAcentral's name for it is "retained intron". The record is from RNAcentral. Lineage: Eukaryota; Metazoa; Chordata; Mammalia; Primates; Hominidae.
GGACCAGAUUAAGACACGAGAAGCAGUUGCCACACUUCACAAGGAUGGCAUAGAGUUUGCAUUUAAAUACCAAAAUCAGAAAGGACAAGAGUAUCCACCUCCUAAUCUGGCUUUUCUUGAAGUACUAAGUGAAUUUUCUUCUAAACUUCUUCGACAGGACAAAAAGACGGUUCAUUCAUACCUAGAGAAAUUCCUUACCGAGCAGAUGAUGGAAAGGAGGGAAGAUGUAUGGCUUCCACUCAUCUCCUAUAGAAAUUCAUUAGUCACUGGGGGUGAAGAUGAUAGAAUGUCUGUGAACAGUGGAAGUAGCAGCAGCAAAACCUCAUCAGUAAGGAAUAAGAAAGGACGACCUCCACUUCAUAAAAAACGAGUAGAAGGUAAGUCUGCCUUUACACUAUAAGAAACAAUUUGCCUGGUUUUAAAGAGAUAAAGUAGCAAAUAAUCUUUUGAAGCAAGAUAAUAGUAUCAGGCACAUGAUUUUCUUGUAUAUUUUAUUCACAAUGAGAUGUUAAGGCAAAAAGGUUGAAACAGAUGAAGUAAGACAGAAAAGCAUCAAGGAAAAAGAAGUUGAGGAAGCAUGGAGCACAAAGGAAGACAGACCAAAAGAAGAAAAAAUUAGCUAGGUCUAUAAAAUCAAUCCCCAUACUAUAUGCCUCUAAUACAUUAAAAUAUAAAGUAAGAUAGUCACAAUGCUAUUCUAUUAAAAUUCUUCCUAAUAUAGGUGAGAUACAGGUAAUUUGAGGGUA